GACGAACCGUGCGAACGUUGUUCGGAAUCACUGGGCUUAAAGGGCGCGUAGGCGGGUCGGCCAGUCUGUGGUGAAAUCCCCCGGCUUAACCGGGGAACGGCCGCGGAUACUGCCGACCUCGAGGGGGGUAGGGGCGUGCGGAACACUAGGUGGAGCGGUGAAAUGCGUUGAUAUCUAGUGGAACUCCGGUGGCGAAGGCGGCGCGCUGGACCCCUUCUGACGCUGAGGCGCGAAAGCCAGGGGAGCAAACGGG
Molecule: ribosomal RNA, 253 nt
Filed under: uncultured bacterium
Lineage: Bacteria
Description: partial 16S ribosomal RNA
Rfam family: Bacterial small subunit ribosomal RNA
Source: RNAcentral